This is a long non-coding RNA of Heterocephalus glaber (naked mole-rat), 2643 nucleotides long. Lineage: Eukaryota; Metazoa; Chordata; Mammalia; Rodentia; Bathyergidae. The record is from Ensembl.
AAUUGAUUUGUGUCUGUUUACUCACCCUCCAAAAUCGUUUUAAUCUGUUCACCCCGGGCAGUUUGGAGGCGUUCAUCCCUGUGAAGGUAGGUAUCCCCUUGUAGCUGCCAGGAUGUCUGGUGGCCGUGCAAUGAGAUGCCUGGGGAUUCUCACAGAAGGGACACUCCCUGGCUUUUAGCGAUGCUGCUUACUAAGACCACAGUUUGCUGGCAGCCCGGAGCAGCCAAUAGCUGAGCCGGACGUUUCAGCCUCUGGGGAGCAGGGAGCAGAGCUGCCCCACACCAGUGGAGGAGCCUCUGACCUGGUCCAGGGCUCAGCCUCCCGGGGGGGCAACGAUGCUUUCUGAACAGCCCUGUCCACCUACUCCUCCUGCAGAUGGGUCUGGAGUCCUGGAUUGGAAACCAUGCUCUGCUCUGAGAAAGACUCGCUCAUGUUCAUCUCAACUCAGUCACCAGCCUGAAGCUGAGGGCCCUGAUGCUCGGCUGCCUCCGGCUCCUGAGUUGGCUCUGACCCUGGACAGGGGUUGGGAGCAGGAAGAAGCUGCCCAAACCUUCUUGGUUUGGAAGGACCACAGGGAGGGCAGAGCUGCAGCUACAUGGGUGAAGGCCUCAGUGGGCCCGGCUGUGCGUGCCCUCACACCUCAGUCACACUGACUGCUGUGCUGUUCCUGGAUGGAUGGACGUGCUCAUGGCCCACGCCUGGUUUUACUGGAAAAUGUAUAAAAUUCUGUGUAUAACUGGGUAAAUCACCAUUGUUUGACCCCCACUGGAUUAAACAUGAAGCUGUGGACUGAAGUAGGGACUCUGGAGGAGAGAGAGAGGAGAAAGGAGACGGGGAAGAGAGGAAGUAGGGAAGGGAGAGGAAGAAGUCAUGAUGUCAUAAGGAACGGGCACACAAAGGGAAAUAAAUCAGACGCAGAAGGUUAAACAUCACAUGGUUUCUGUUAUACGAGACACUCCAUAUAUAAAUAAUUUAAAGAGCAAAAUAAAAGAUAGAUGACAGGAAACAGGGAGACAGACUUUGCAGAGAUGGGAAGGGGAUCAAGAGAUGAGGAGACUGGAGGAAAGGGAACAGGAAGAGGAAGAAAAAAUGAUUAAGAUGUGAUAUGCAUAUGUCAUUAUUAUGAAUCACAAAUAUAUACAGAGAGAGAGAGAGGGAGGGAGGAGAGAGAGAGAGAGGACUCAUAGGAGGGCAGCAGGAAGGAACAAUUCCCACUCCCUGCAGGGAGGGGCCAGCCAGUGAAAUAGACAAAAGCAAGUGUUUUCUCCUGGCACAGUCUCUGAUCUGCAGAGCCAGGCUUGCAGCAAGGAAGGAAGUUGGUAAGAGGAAGAUUCUAAAAAGAUCUACCAGCCUUGGUCUUGUCAGUUCAUGACAUGACAGGGACGUCUCUUGGCAUGAAAGAACCUUAAGGGGCCCAUAGAGCAGUCUCCGCCUUACACCAAGGCACCAGGCUCUGUAGUCGGCAUCACAAAGAUGGACACACCUCACUCUGCUGAGCAGACGUGUGAACGGCGGCAGGAAGGCACAUGCUGUGUGCCAUCAUGCACUGCAAGGAGGCAGUGUGCCUGCCUGCUCCUCCCAACCCCUUGGCGGCACUCACUACGAUAUGGGUGUCAGUCCCUCGCAGGGAGAGGAAGUUGGGAGACAGGAAGAACCCAGUCUGAAAGUGCCAUGUCUAUCACCAUCAACCCAAACAGGCCCCUGGUCGUAACUGGCUUAUCCUUGUCUCACCCAAUGAAAUUAAGCAGAAAAGAAAAAUAAGGCAUGUUUUUAAACUACUCUGUGACCUCAAACAGAGGAAUAAUAUCUAGAAUUACAAAGAAUUCAGAAAAAUUACAGCCCCCCCAAUAAAAGACCCAAUGAAAAAUGGGCAACUAAAACAAAUAGAUAUUUCUCUGAAGAAAAUGAAAAAAUGUUCAACAUCUCUGGUCAUUAGAGAAAUGAAAAUCAAAACAACACUGAGAUUCCCUUACCCCAGAAGAAUGGCUGUCAUCAAGAAAUCAAAUAAUAACAAAUGCUGGCAAGGCUGUGGGGGAAAGGAACCCUGCUCCAUUGUUGGUGGGAGUGUAAGCUAGUGCAAUCACUAUAGAAAUCAGUAUGGAGAUUCCUCAAAAAACUAAAACUACAAAUUCCAUUUGACCCAGCUAUUCCCUUUCCAAGCAUCUCCCCAAAAGAGUUAAAGUCAUCAUAUUACAAAGAUCCAUGCAUAUCCAUGUUUAAAGCAGCUUAACUCAUAAUAGCUAAAUCUUGGAAGCAGCCUGUAUAUUCAUCAACAGAUGAAUGGAUAAAGAAAAUGUGGUAUUUACAUACAUCGGAGUACUAUCCCACCAUUAAGAAGAAUAAGCUUGAGUCAUUUAUAGGAAAGCAGACACACCUCAAGACCAUAAUGUUAAGUGAAGUAAGUUAGACACACACACUUAAACGAGAAACCCAAAGUAUAAACAAAAGAGCAAAAUAAAAAAAAGGCAAUUGGAAAUAGGGAGACAGAUCUUUGGGAAAUGGGAAGGGAACCAAGGGAUGGAGGAAGGAGGAGGGGACACAGAAAGGAAGAAGAUGCAUCAUGUGCAUGUACCAACUAGCCACAAUGAAUAUAUUCAUUACGUAUUGCAAACAUGUAUUAAUAAAAUAAAUAAGCCAACGAGG